GUGCAAGUUUUUCAUCUAGUCUGAUGCUUUUAGAGAGUAGUUCACUCCUUUCCGUUGAAGGAAAACAAUGAAUAUUUGAUUCAAUUAUUUUAGUGAUUUUAAUCCGUUGUUAACGUUCUUGUUAAAUUAUUGUUUGUGUUUCUGUGUGAUUUUAAAGAGUUGAAACAACUAACCUAGAAACAGAUAUCGAUCGGCAAAUCAACACAUUGAAAAUAAAAAAUUAUAAUCGAAAAUGAAUCCCCAGCAAAAUAAACCUGUAGAAAAGAAGAAGCUUGCUAGGCUUUCCGGUUCUGGUUCAAAAUCCAACGAGGGUAAACCAGCUGGACCGACUGAUGAUUCUGGAAACUCGUCGACUGAAGAAGAAAAUAAAGGAACCAGAGGUCUUACAACAGGUCCAACUACUUCCAUUCUUAGACAAGCUCUACAAGGUCUCCCCAUAAAAACAGAAGAACCAAAAGGGGAUGAUGAAAAAGUAACUUCUACAUCUGAUUCAUUUAAUACUCAAGGUAAAGGUGUUGUGCCUUCCCCAACAAGGAAAAAUAUUCCAGCAGCUUUUGCUCUACCAUUAAAUCCUACUGAACAGAUCGAUCUGGCUUCUGGAAAUCAAAGUACAAUUGAAAAUCCUUCUGAACUUGCUGAACUUCCCAGUCCAAGGAACACUGGUGCAAGACCACGUGUUUCACCAAAAAGGAAGCCGGGUUCUUGUGCCAACCAAGAAAUCGUAUCACCCUCAAAGAUUUUAAGAAGAGAUCUGAAUCAAGAAAUUUCGCCAUCUUCAAAUGAGUUCUGUUCGACUGCAUCGAUAGAACUUGGGAAUACCUCUAGUGAAACUGCAAGUACGAUGGCAACAGUCAUAUCUUCGGAUCCGCGUCACGUGACUAUACAGAAGGGUUACCAACGUCGGCCCGCUUCAGCUGAUUACGAUGCUUUUUCCUACAUGUCGUCGAAUAAACUUGAGGCCAAAAGAUCUAACGAUUCUAGCGUCAGGACGGACAAGCUAGGUCCUUUCUCGAAAGACGAUCGUUUCAAGCAUAUGGCCUUGAACCUGGCCGAUAAAUUCAGGACGAUAAACUGUGUAAGCCAGCAGUUUUACGCGGAAAUGCUUAUCCAUAUGAUUUUGGCCGAAGCAUUAGAAGGCACCCUUACCAAACAUCAUAGAUUGCAAGGUUGCAUCUAUAAGAAGGAAUUGGAUUAGGUGGAUAUCAAAAUCGUCAACCCCCAUCUGGGUGUAUCUGUCAAUGUAUACCGUCAUCUUCAGACGUGAAGGAGACGAUUAUUUGGAGUCCAUCUAUUUAUUAUGUAGGCGAUGGUGGAACAACAUUCACAUUAGAUGAACUGGAGUCGUAAAACAUCAAUCUUGGAUAUGUGGAAUGUUGUCCAAUCUGUAUGUUUAUUGUUUGAAAUUUUUAUGAACAUUGCUAUUUGUUGUCUUUUGAAAUGCUUUGUAAUUCUGGUUGACUCAAUAACUACUUUAUAUCAGUAAUAUUUUAUAAUUGAUUCCUAAACUAACUUUUAUAUAAUUUUUUUGUAUAGUUUUAUAUCUACUUAUUGCUAAUUUUGAAUCUAAUAUAAUGAAUAUCUCCUA
Harmonia axyridis is the source of this 1585-nucleotide RNA transcript. RefSeq lists it as uncharacterized. The transcript is spliced from 15 exons. Lineage: Eukaryota; Metazoa; Arthropoda; Insecta; Coleoptera; Coccinellidae. The record is from RefSeq and is a predicted model, not a curated record.